RNA transcript from Neolamprologus brichardi, 3322 nucleotides. It is a transcript of the gene named cugbp, Elav-like family member 3b, with no coding region annotated. Lineage: Eukaryota; Metazoa; Chordata; Actinopteri; Cichliformes; Cichlidae. The record is from RefSeq and is a predicted model, not a curated record.
GUAGAGAGACACCGGUAGCUUUAGGACGUUAAAAGCCAUAGAACCGUCGGACGGGCCGGUCGCUACAAGAAACAGAAAAUAGUAAGAGCAGCUCCCCAUUAACGGUUAGAACAAUAACGACAAGGCUGAAAGAUCCCGUUACGAGUGACCGAUCAAGUUUCAAUAGUUUUAAGCUAGCCAAAUUUUAGAAGCUGCUUUGUCUAUUAUCACUUUGUUAUAAUAUAACAGGACUUGAGAGUGGUGAAAGUGAUAACUCUGGAUUUUUAAACCCUGAGAGGUUGGGACUAAGUGCAGAAAGCGGUGGUGUUCGAGCUCACCUGCCGCCAGGACUUCUUCUCCGUCACUUCCACACCCGAAGACCGGGAACACCGGAAUUUUUUGUGGAUUUUUUUUAUUUAUUUAUUUUUUUGUAAAAACACAAGCCGAAUCUAUAGUAUUACACACCGAGGAAAGAGGAGGAGGAUAAACACAAACACACACACAGCACAGGCACAAAGAGCGGGGAGCAUCCAGAGAGGGGAAGAAGGCGGACCGCACGGAGAGAUAGAGCGCGGUGUGAGGACAACAACCCGACUGAGCAUCCCUCUUUAAUUUCUGAUCUGCUCGGGAAACACUCUGCACGGCCGUACAGUACAAACGGGGAUCCUGAACGCCGUUUAUCCACGGAAAGACUCCUCCAGCAUCAGUCGCUCCUCUCCAGGGAUAGCUGCUCCCGAUCUGUUUGCCCCUGAGCCCUGCAGUACCCAGUCGUCCUCUCCACUUUGUCCCGAUGAAGGAGGCUGAUGCCAUCAAGUUGUUUGUGGGGCAGAUUCCCCGUAAUCUGGAGGAGAAGGACCUCAAGCCUAUCUUUGAGCAGUUCGGCAAGAUCUAUGAGCUAACUGUGAUUAAGGACAAAUACACUGGCAUGCACAAAGGAUGUGCGUUUCUGACGUACUGUGCGAGAGAGUCUGCGCUGAAAGCCCAGAGCGCUCUUCAUGAGCAGAAAACACUACCAGGGAUGAAUCGGCCAAUCCAGGUGAAACCAGCUGACAGCGAGGGCAGAGGCGAGGACAGGAAGUUAUUUGUGGGCAUGCUGGGAAAGCAGCAAAGCGAUGAGGACGUCAGAAGGCUGUUUGAGCCCUUUGGCAGCAUAGAUGAGUGUACUGUCUUGAGAGGUCCUGAUGGCACCAGCAAAGGGUGCGCGUUUGUGAAAUUCCAAGGACAUGCCGAAGCCCAAGCUGCCAUCAACAGCUUGCACGGGAGCCGCACAAUGCCUGGGGCGUCGUCCAGUCUGGUGGUGAAGUUCGCAGACACAGAGAAGGAGCGGGGGCUGAGGAGGAUGCAGCAGGUGGCCUCCCAACUCGGCAUCUUCAGCCCCAUGACCCUCAAUUUCCCCGCCUACAAUGCCUACACGCAGGCGGUCAACGCACAGCUUGUCCAACAGCAGGCCCUGGUUGCCCAGUCAGCGUACUUGUCUCCUGUGGCAACAGUUGCCGCCGUACAGAUGCAGCAGAUGGCAGCACUCAAUGCCAAUGGAAUCAUUGCCACACCCAUUACACCCAUCACACCAUCCUCGGGUACAAACACCCCCCCAACUAUUGCAGCAACACCUGUGCCAGCGCUUCCUCCACCGAUAGGAGUGAAUGGUUACAGCAGCGUGCCAGCUCCCUCCAAUGGGCAACAAACAGAAACACUAUACACCAAUGGCGUUCACCCAUAUCAAGCUCAGAGUCCAGCAGCAGCCUUGGACCCACUACAGCAGGCCUACGCAGGCAUGCAGCACUACACAGCGGCGUACCCUGCUGCGUACGGAUUGGUCGGGCAGCCGUUCCCCCAGCAGCCAACACUUGUUGCCCAGCAACACCAGCAGCCCCAGCAACAGCAGCAGAGAGAAGGUCCAGAGGGGUGUAACAUCUUCAUCUACCACCUGCCUCAGGAGUUCAGUGACUCUGAGAUGCUGCAGAUGUUCCUGCCUUUUGGCAAUGUCAUCUCAGCCAAGGUGUUUGUGGACCGUGCCACCAACCAGAGCAAAUGCUUCGGAUUUGUGAGUUUUGACAACCCAGCCAGCGCUCAGGCCGCCAUCCAGGCCAUGAAUGGCUUCCAGAUUGGCAUGAAGAGACUGAAAGUGCAGCUCAAAAGGCCGAAAGAUGCCAACCGCCCAUACUAAGUGACUACUGAGAGGAUGAAGAACAAGUGAAGAGAGAUCCUUCCGUCCAAUCAUAAUUCACGAGGACCCCAUCGCUAUGGCAAUGGUUGCCUAGUGACCGAUAAAGCCCCGACCCCCCCUUCCUCUCACAUUGUUGUGACCUUUCAGAGUCCAGCCGAGGAGGAAUCCCAGGGUUCAUUGUGCUUUCAGACUGUCUGCUGCCUGUGAGCGUACGCGGACUGCAGCCACACUCACGCAAACACACAAACAUACAUCAACACCGAACCUCAUAGGGUUCGUGGCUGAUAUGUACAUAAAAUGCACAAACACACACACACACUUGCUGACACUUACACAAAUACACACGCGAGUCAGUAAUCUCACCCAUACGGCCGAGACCUUGGUUUGACCGUAGUCUGUGUGGAACAGGGUGUUUAGUACAGCUAAGACAACUCAGACCAAGUGAGAAGGGUGAAAUCAACCUGCUGAUAUAUCACUCCAAUAGACUUUAACUUGUCUAUACCAUGUCUAAUACAUGACAAAUAUAGAGGGACCGAUGUUUCAUAAUAAAAACCCAAGAAAAUACAAAAAAGACGACUAAAUGAGUAGGUUAGAGAGACUUUGGAGAAGAUCCUAAUGACCUGUAAAUAGUUUAGUUUACAAAGAGCAGCAUUUAAAAAACAAGAAAAAUGCAAAAAGAAUACUACUUUAGAUAAACACUGAGCAGGACACAGCAACAUUAUUAUUAUUAUUAUUAUUAUUAUCAUUAUUAUUAUUAUUACCACUAGUAACAUCAUCAUCUUCAUGAAAGGAAAAUACAUUCCAAAUUGUAAAAUGGGAAAUCACUAACCUAUUUUAAAUUUCUACUUAGACUUUAGGUGAAACACGGGGGAGGGAGGGAUUGCACUUUUAUUCGGGAGGUUUUAAUAUUUGAGCUAUUUUUUAUUUAUUUACUAAUUUAUCAAUUAUUUUGUUUAUUGGGAGAAAAGGGGGUUUGAGUGGGUUGCAAUAUUUUGAUUUAGGAUUUUCUAGAGGAAAAAAAACAACUUUUGAGGGUCUGUCUCUCUCACUUCUUGCAAUCGAGUAAUUAUAAUGUAUGUAUUAAUUAUUACAGCAAUUAUAUUUAUUUCUAAUUUAUUGAAUCCUGUUUUUGAUCCACUCUCUUUUUAAGUUUAAAUAAAAAGUAUCAUACUAAAA